This 263-nucleotide unclassified non-coding RNA is filed under the name Hevea brasiliensis (rubber tree). The record is from RNAcentral. Lineage: Eukaryota; Viridiplantae; Streptophyta; Magnoliopsida; Malpighiales; Euphorbiaceae.
GGGUGUUCCCACGAUCAGUUUGGGCUGGAGAAGUAAGAAUUCUAGAGGAUAAAAGCUUAUUGCCAAGCUGCAGUAACGCUCAACUUUCUUAGCGUCUUUGCCACUGGAGGUAUGCUUCAUUGCAGAGAGUUACCAAGUGGAAUAUUGAUUUUGUGGAGCACAGCAAGUAGGGAGACGGGUAUGCACAAAUUGAACUUGUUUGUUUGAUAAUUUGUAAUAUCUCGAUUGAUGGUAUACUGCAUUGUUUGGUUGGCAGGUACAAG